Molecule: ribosomal RNA, 690 nt
Filed under: Orculella aragonica
Lineage: Eukaryota; Metazoa; Mollusca; Gastropoda; Stylommatophora; Orculidae
Description: partial 12S ribosomal RNA
Source: RNAcentral
CCAAAAACGGUUCCAUCCUUUUUAGACUUUUUAAUUUUAUUAUGGUUUCUAAGUUUAUUUGAUUCUUAUUAAUUAUGGUAGUUAAAACAAUUUCACUUACCAGUUAAAAAACUUAAUUUACAAUAUAAAUAUUAGCUUAGUUGAGAUCAUAUUCUUUAGGUAAAUAAGGUGCCAGCAACCGCGGUCAUACCUUAUUUAAAGAUAUAACUAUUUAUAAAAAAAUACUAAAUUCUUUACAAAAAAGUACUUUUCAGUAAAAUGAAAGUACUUUUUUUUUCUUAAAAGUAAACUACAAAAAAAUCAUUUUUAAUAAACUAGGAUUAGAUACCCUACUAUUUUGAUAGAUUUGGCUUUUUUGAGGAUUAUAUUUACUAAAAAUUAAACUCAAAUAUUAUGGCGGCUGUAAAAACCUUUAGGGGAACUUACCAGAUAAAUGAUAACCACCAAGAAAAAUCUUCUUUAAUUUAUAGUUUGUAUGCCGUCGUCAUAAAGAUAUAUUUAAAAUAUACCUUUUAACACUUAUAUAAUAUGUAUUAUGACAGAUCAAGGUGCAGCUAAUGUUAAUGAUUCUAGGCGAGUUACAAUAAUUACUUAUUCACGGUUGUAAUAAAUUAUUUUUAUUACAUAAGCAGGACUUAAAAGUAAAAAAUAAAUAUAUUAUACUAUUUGAAUAUCACUAUUCUGCAGUGC